Molecule: ribosomal RNA, 460 nt
Filed under: uncultured bacterium
Lineage: Bacteria
Description: partial 16S ribosomal RNA
Rfam family: Bacterial small subunit ribosomal RNA
Source: RNAcentral
CCUACGGGAGGCAGCAGUGAGGAAUAUUGGUCAAUGGGCGUAAGCCUGAACCAGCCAAGUCGCGUGAGGGAUGAAGGUUCUAUGGAUCGUAAACUUCUUUUAUAAGGGAAUAAAGUUCGGGAAGUGUACCGUUUUGUAUGUACCUUAUGAAUAAGGAUCGGCUAACUCCGUGCCAGCAGCCGCGGUAAUACGGAGGAUCCGAGCGUUAUCCGGAUUUAUUGGGUUUAAAGGGAGCGUAGGCGGCCGUUUAAGUCAGGGGUGAAAGUCUGUGGCUCAACCGUAGAAUUGCAGUUGAAACUGGGAGUCUUGAGUAUGUCUGAGGCAGGCGGAAUGCGUGGUGUAGCGGUGAAAUGCUUAGAUAUCACGCAGAACCCCGAUUGCGAAGGCAGCCUGCCAAGCCAUGACUGACGCUGAUGCCCGAAAGCGUGGGGAUCAAACAGGAUUAGAUACCCGGGUAGUC